GAUCAUGUUACUGAUAGAAGAAAAUAUGUAAGAUAACAAAUUCCAGGCUUUCUCCCUUGGGAUGUGCGUUCAACUGUAGAAGGAAUGUUUAUGAAAGAAUACAUUGUACUAUUUAAGCAUGCUUCAAAGAACAAAUCCUUUCUUACCUUGUAGAAAUUCAUCUCAGCUUUUUCUUUUCUUUCUUUCUUUCAGACUAUAAGUCAGUAGAAGUGAUGUAUGUUACCCAUGGGCCAGUUUGUACAGGGGUAGCUUUAUCUGGGCACGUCCUUACCUUGGAUUGGAAGUCUGUUGUAUUUAAUGGGGUGUUAACUCAGUUUAUUCCCUGGGAUUUCUGCAGUAAUUUUAUUGCCUGCAAAAGGAGCAAUUUGAAGCAGAUGAAAUGAAGGUAUGCUUUGUAACAUACCUGCUGAGUUUGGCAAUGAUGCCUGGACACCUUAUUCUGGUGUUUCUGUUUUCUUCAUCACAUCUCUUGCAUGUAUUUUACUGGUAGUCCUGCUUUGAGUUUGAGGGUUAUCUCCCUUCUUUGAGGAAAUAGAUCCGUAGGCACUGCAUCUGGUCUGUUCCCAAAUCUGUGUCAAAUGUUCUUGGCAGUGCAGGCAAGCAUAAGAAUAAUGGAUUCUGAAGUCAGAUUUUACAAAUGAGGCUGUUUGGUAGUUGAGUUCGGUGAUACUGCAGCAGAACCUAAAGUGAAUUACAGUCCAAGACAUUUAUAAUGUUAAAGAAAUGGGUUCCUCUAAUGCUGAAGCACUAACAGAACAAAGAGGAAAAAUCAAAGACAAAGAUAAAAAAUCAGCUUAAAGUGGACAAACUGUGCAGUAUGACAGACUUUUAUAAAGACUUCUCUCAGAUGCAGCUGUUUUGUGAGGGAGGAUGGUGUAGAUCAGCAUCGAUGCCUUAGGACACAAAGCUCAAUUGUUCAGUCCUCUUGCACAGGUGGUCUUACAACUUCUAUGUGAUAAAAGCACAGACAACAGUUUCAUGAACAUUAGAAAGCAUUUGGGUGUUAAAUUACUGGGCAGUAUGUGUUUAGUGUGAAUGAGAGACACAAUGUCACUUGUGCGUGGUGUUUUGGAGGACAGACUGCAGUAACUUCAUCAGAUUCUUCUGAAGCACAACUUUGGCCUGAACUAAUAUGAAGUAUCAGGUUUGUCUCAGUUCAGUUUGUUGUCAUGUGGUUUUGACAUAUUUAUCUAGUAGGAAAUACUUCACAUUUAGAUCAACUGGUUUCUAAAGCCAAAGCUUCAGUGGAAAGGUUUUGGCCCCCAUGAAAUUAAUGAAAAUUUAGUUAUUGACUUUGCUGGAGCCAGGAUUUCUUCUGCAGUUAUAUAUGUGGUUAUGGAUUAUCAGUCCAUAUGGAAGCUGAAACUGUGUCUCCAACUUUUCCUAGACUCAUCCAGUGUCUCUAAUCCUGCAGCUUCAGAGAGAAAUCUGCGUGGGGGUUCUUCCUAAGGAAAAUCCAAGAGGAACUCCUGCAAUGUAUUACCAGGCUGACAAAACAUAUGUUUCUUCAGCUAAAAUAGCAGUGCUCUUUCACAUAUAAUGGGGUCACUGUUUCUCUGCUGUGUUUCUCAUGUUAUUGAUACUUACUAGCUGGGCUCCAAUUUGAUGAUAAAAUAUCAGCACUUCAAAAUCCUACCUGUGAGAGGGCUUCACAUCACCAAAAUGUCAGUCCUGUCACUUAAAGAAACACUUCUGUUACUUCCUGUCACUGCUGCUACUUUUUCUUAAUGAUAGGAAAUUUCAGUUGGAUUCCCAAGUUCUCUACUAGCAAUUUCUCUGAAUCCAGUAUUUCACUACCAUGGCAAAUGCAAUGAAGUUGUUCUCAGGGUGGGGUGGGAGGACUGAGCCUGGAUCCAGAGGAGCUAUGUUUGUUUUCCAGGCUCUCAGAUAGGCUCUCUCUGUGUGACAGAUACUGUUUCUGCUUUGUGCUCCAGUCAAUGUAUUAGUGAAAGAUGCUCAGUUCAGUGAUGAGGAUGUUAAAAGAACUGAUGUAGGCAGAGUUCUUGGACAGUGGGCUGUUUUCGUUCUGCUUCAGUUCUUCAUUGUGCAAAUGAGAAGAAUAAACAUCAUCCAUUUAGACGGAGCUGCCUGAAAAAGGGGUUGUGUCUUAGCAUAUGUGUCCAGAAACUACCACUGUGAUCUGAAUAGGAAUCUAUAGGCUUUGUUCUGUUUAAUCAUAUCCAAUUGGAGGUAGAUGAAUUAAGAGGAUUUGGGGUUGGAAAUGGUAGUUUCUUGUUGGCUUUUUAAUUAUUAUUUAAAGUAGACUUGUGAUAUCUUUUUUCUGUUUGAGCUGUACUGCCUGAAAUAGUGCAAAUAUUGCAGUUGAAUCUUAUUUUCAUUUUUCUUUCUCAGGCUUUGACCUUUAAGAACACAAGUGGAACUGCUAUCUAUACAAGGAGGUGGCAAAGGUCUCGUGUAGCCUUCUGAAAACAGUCCUGUUUUGUUUGCAUGACAUAGUAGUCAGAAAAUGUAUCAGGAAAGAAUAGUGGAUAAGAGAAAAUGAAUGGCAUGGCUGAGUGCAGUAGCCAGAAAUAACCUCCUGCCUGGGAUUGUUCACCUCACCAAAAAUUAUCAAUAUAAUGAAAGUGCAAUUUUACACCAUCUUUAACCAAAAGGGUGUAGUCUGCCUAGACAUACAUUUAUGUCAAAAUUCUUCAUUUUGGUCUGGAUACAUUAAUAAAAUGAUCCAGUAUAAAAGUCAGUAUCCAUAUAAGUCUUACAUAAUUUAACCAUAUCAGCUUAAAAGCUGUUUAUUUAGCAUACUAAUGAGCCCUGACUGGGUUUGUUGUCUACAGACAAGACUGUGCAUAGUAAAUAAUAACCACUGCAAAAAAUUUGUUUCUCAGGGUCCUAAAUUCACCAGUCUCCACAAUCUAUAUUUUCUCUUCAUAGGCUACUUAAUUUCUCCUGAAUUUCAGUCUUGUUCCUCACUUGAGUCAGUGUGAAAUGUGUUUCUUCUGGGUUUUUUGAAGAUUUAGAACAAAUGACAGGCUGACCCAAGGGGUUUAGCUGGGGAGGGAAGAACACUGAGUGCUGCUUUCAGCUAAAGAAAUCUUGUUUUAUUAGCCUAGUCUGAUGUUUGAAGAAGAGAACAGAUCAGAUUUGGGCUUCACUGGUAGAUCUAGAGCUGGCUAGGUUGCUGCCCUAGAGGGAAAGGUUCCUGUCAGCUCCAGAUCUCCCAAGAGACAUUAUUUGCUGAGCUGGUGUGAUGAGAAGGUUCAGAGGUAGUGUCAGUCUGGAUGGUUCAUUAGUUUAAAUGUCUGGUGUUGGGAGGUAUGUUCUCAAGCAAAGGCUUCUAAAUAUAAAAUAGUCUUGUGAAGUUUUCAUCUUAUGAAUAUUCACUUGUUGAAUUUACAUUUUGUUUUUCAUCUCUGAGCUCCUAGAACAGGGCCUUUCACAGAGGACAGCCUUCCCAUCUGUCUGAAUAAACUGACAGAAAGUUUUUGCAAAAACAGUGCCUUGUUUAACAUGUCCAUGCCCUCCAGCUAGUUUCUUUCAGAACACUCUGAAGACACAGCCAUUGUCACUUGCAAGCCUGAAUAAUCUAAAACUUGAGCAAAAGUUUGAUCUGUGCACCCUUGAAUUCAUUGACUGUAAUUGGUGAGAGUGGAGGUGCAGGUGGAACCAAUAAUGCACUUUUGCCUCGAGAGACUAAAGCAGUCUGGGCAGUGUACUCAGCACAGAAAGUUCUCGGUGAACUUGGGAGAGAGCAAACACAUCUGAAACAUGCCUGUAGGGCAUUUGGAGUGUCUGCUUGGGGGCUGCAGGGAUCAGCUGGGAUGGAGGGUUAUCACUUGUGCUUGCAGAGAUACACGCUGUGGUUCAUGACCUUCUGGCACCAUUAUCUAUGGCUGUCACUCCUCUGCUUUCAUGUGCAUUGCAAUCACGGGAAAAGGAGUGAAAUACAUAAAUAGGGGUAUGCAUUCAUCAACCCCUCAAAUGCUCUUGGGUGCUUGAUUGCUUCUAGGCAGUGGGUUUUGUUGUUCUGUUCUCAUUUACUUUCUUUUUUCGACUACAUAUCAAGUUAUUUCCUGAUCCGGCUUCAUAUGGUGGCUAAUGGAACAAAAUUGAUGCAAUUGCUCCAAAAAAAGGCUUUUAGCUAGUAGAUUCUAAUUAAAGCAACCCUUUUUUAUUUUUCAGAGGAGAAAAAAAAUAUCCUUCCAAGAGCCCACUUUCUUUGUAUCAGAUGAAUAUAUAUGCAAUAAUUCCCCAGCCUGAUGGAGACAGAAGUUGAAAUAUGCUUGGAGCAGUUAUAUUCAACCAUAUGUUCUCCGGGGAGAUGGUAUCUUUGAUCUUGCCUGCUUCUUCCAUGUGCUUGGUUGCUUAAACAGAUGGAGGUGAGGAGAUUUUCUCUGCUUCCAUGAAAAAUAAACCAACAAACCAACAAACUCCACACUUACAAACAUGAUUAAAACUAACCAAUUAAAUUUCACAUGUGUGGUAGGCUCUCAGUGACCAAAGCUAAGUGGAACUGUGAAAGGGUGUAGCUAAGGACCUGUGCUGCCUUGAUAUGACAUGGACUGCUCGUUGUGCUGGCUGGAUCUAAUCUGGUGGUGGGGGAAUUACCUUAUCUCUAAACCUCAUCUCCCUUCCAAAUCCACCAUAAUGUCAGACUGAGAAAUCAGUGCUUAGGAGAACAAAGACACAUCACAAAUGCAGCUUCCACUCCAAGUGCCAGGAGCAGGGUUUUUUUUUUUAAUCUUCCUUCUGUAUUAGUGAAUCUUCUUAAUAAGCCUUCCCAAGGUAAGUCAUUGCCUGAUCCACAGCCAUCCCCAGGAGGAAAGAGUGAUGGAAGGAAUGAAUUGUAGCUAAUACAUAGUAGCCUCAAGACCUGAUGAAAAGACACGGUGGGUAAGUGGUGCAGGAGGCUCAGUACAUGAGAAUCUCUGAUUUUCUUCCCUCUAUAACUGUCCCUGUGCUUCAGAACAGCUUUUCAUAAUUCCCUUCCCUUACUGUCCUAAAGACCAAACAGCCUCUUACUCCCCAUUUGGAGCAUUUAGGCUCUCUAUUCAUGGAGAACCAUUCCCUAUCACUCCCUACUGAACCUGAAAAUCUUUCCUGUCCAACAUUAAAAAAAAAAAAAAAAAAUCCUUUCUCUCUCUGUCCCAUUGCUGCUAGCCCCCUGCUCCUGAGCUGGCUGUAUCUGAGAGGCUUGAAGCCUGUAAGUGAUGCUGUUUGCUUCUGAGUCAGAGAGGCUUUUAAAUCUGAGUGUAAAAUGAGCCUCCUCCAGCAGUGAACAGCCGAUCAUACACCUCCUUUGAAGUUCCCAUUUAAAUAACCUCCAGGGCUUUACUAAUGCGGGAAGCCAGCAAGAGGAAGUAAUUCCCUCCUUCUCCCCUCUCCAAAGCAGGGAAAAUGAAUUCCCUGGCAGAGGAGGGACACUGGUUUUCAGGGUACUGCAGAGGAGAUGAACAGCUCUCGUUUGCAGCUUAGUUAGUGAGUCAGCACAUAUUCAUUCAUGGGCACAAUUUGUUAACCCAUGAACACUGUAGAUGAUGGUGUUAUCACUGUCAUAAAGUAAUUUUAAUUUGUUGUAUAAUUUAUAAGGUAGCUGCUGCAUCAGAGGGAAGCCUGUAUCUGCUCAUGUGUCCAGGUCCUAGGGUGGUGCUAGGAAGGGAAGAGAGGAUCAGGGAAACAAAAAGGAGGGGUCCUGGCAGGACUAUGGGAGCUGACCUGGUUGCAGACCAUUUUUUUGCUGAUUCCCCACCCUGUGGGUUGUUCCUGGUGCUGCUAAUUCAUUUAAAGGUGGAUGUGUGUUUUCAGGCCUCCAGCUCUACAUGUGAAUUGAUGCUUGGGCUUUUCCUGAAGGUGGACAGACACAUAGCAGGAGCGCAAGUGAGUUUGUGUGGCAUCUGACCGCACUGGAGGGGUGUUCAGUGGUACGUUGGAAAGGAGGGUAUCCUGUGCUGGAUGGGAUACCGUGGUGUUGGAUGUCAGCAUUUUAUGUUCUUGAGAUUAUAAUAGGGUCUUCUCUAUGGACUGAUGUCAUGUGGCUACCAAAUACGAGAGUAGUAAAGUCUUCUGAGACCUUUGUAGUUACUAUGUGCUGCAAUGAUUUAAUGGGACAGCUUUCUAGUGAGACAGCAGGUUUGCCCAUUACUGGAAGGACUGGGAACUGAGGAGCCUGGUGAAGUAACAUUCCUACUUGCCUGGAUAUUACUCGUUUGCUAGGUAGGUUAAGCAGUCAAUACCUAAACGAGUUCAUUCCUUUGUUAAGUGAUUUAUUAAAUAGUAAAGUUUAUUCAGAUAAUUAAAUAGACUUCAUUAGUGCAGCAUGUUAACUAGAGAAUGCCCUAAAGACAUCUUAAGUAAGUCUGAAGCUAACCAAGCUGCAUGAGGUCGGUUCCUGCUGGGCUCAGAGGUGCAGUACUCAGGGAUCCCUGUAUUUUCUGACUGCUCUUAAACAGGGCUUAUCUUUCUCAAGGAGAAAUACGUGCUUGCCUGAACUUGCUGUUAGUCAGUCCUUGGCCUGACUGAAAGUGUGGGGAGUUUCAAGGCAAUUAUACCUGUGCUAAUCAUAAUUUGCUCCUUAAUCUAGGAGUAUCUGCCUCUAUGUCCAUGUUUAUGCUAAGUUGCUGAACAAUUUGAUUAGGUGCUUUGAAUAAACCUUGUAAUUAUGCCGUAGAUACUCCUGAUGCAUUAUGUUAUUUUUAUUAUCUAAGUUAUCACUGCCCAUUGUUGUAGCACGGUAACACUUAGAGGCUGCUAUUAGAGCUGAAGCUCAAUUGUGCUGAAUACUGCACAGACAUGCAGUAAGCUGCAGUCUCUGUCCUGGAGGACUUACAGCUUGGCUGUACUAUUGUGCAUCAGCCCAUUAGAGCACCCUGAGAGGCAUUAGUGCCCCAAAUAGUUCCAUGGGUUCUGUAAUGGAAAUGGCCUCACAGACCUUUUAACCUGUGAAGGCAGCAGUGUUCCUGAAUUCAGCUUUGUCCAUGCUCUUCCAUCAUUAUCAGUGCUUGUUAGACAGAAUUUUGGGAAAUGAUAGCUUCAAGUGUGGUUGGAACUGGCCAAUUCUGCUUUCUCAGUGAGUCCUCCUGAGGGCGGAAGAGUAGAGCCAGGCCAUCCUCUUUGAUGUCCCCAGCAUGGGUUUCUGUUUUGUUGAAAGCAUUACACUGCAAGCUGAAUUCUUUCCCAGCUGUUCUGUACUUCGCCAGAUUUCCUUGACCUUGUGCCAGUCAAUGAUGAAUUGUACAAGUCCCCAUCGAAAACGCUGCAGAAGCCAGAGGAAUGCCAGCCUCACUGUGUAAUACAUUAAGUCAAAAUAUUUUAAGCCUGAGACUGAUGGGUAUGAUUCUUCUAUUUCAAUCUGCUCCUUCAGAUUAAAAAGCUGCUAAAAGCUUCAGCUUGUCUUGAUGCAUCUGCUGCUUCAAGACCAAUGAAUGGCAUGUCCAGGACUGGAGGCUGUGGGUAGGAGGAUGAUAUUUUGUGAUAAAUGUACCUGAUGGUGUUUUAUGCUCACAAAGCUUUUUAAAAUCCUUCUACAGGAAAUGAUCAGUCUGUUAGAGAAUACUGAAAGAGCAUCUAGCACUCCUUUAACUGUGAGGAAUAAGUAAUGUCUAAAAAGACCAUAGACCUCUAACCUAUGCAAAUUUAUGUCACUUUUUGCUUAUGUUUCCUUCUUACCUUGCCCUCUGUGGUGAUGUUACUGUUCGAUUGGCAGGAUAUUAUUUUGUAAUAUUUUAUGUUUCUGCUCUCUUACUAAUUCUCUAACCCCUUUUUACAGUUUUGUGGCUGAAAGAUUAAGUCUGCAAAGCAUUUAUAUGAAAAAACGUAAAAUAACAGAUUAAUGUUAUUUUUCUCUUGCUUUGCAUUAGGUUUUCAGUGUCAAAGUUUCAGUGAGCCAGAUUCUGUGGUGAUGGGAAUCAGUGGUGGUAGAAUUGAUUGAUUUGAAUUUAAUGGUAUAAGAAUAUGAGGACUUUCUGAGUAAGCUGGAAGGUUGGAAUCAUGCUCAGAGACAUAGCUGGUAUAGCCAGUUUGUAAAACCUUUGAAAUAAUGAAAAGGCAGAAAUAUCAUGCUUCUUCCUGUUAGACUACUGUCAUCUGUCACAGCACCAGUGGUAGAAGAAGGAGAGGUGCAGGCACUACAAAAGGCAGCUCAUAUUUCUGGAUGUGGCUGGUGGGAUUUAGAACUGGUUUUAGCUCAUGUGAAAUUUUGGGACUGAGGCCAAGCGUUAUUUCCAUAAUUUGAGGUUGACCCAUGGCUAGGAUUAAGGGUUUGAAUUCGAUUUGCUUUAAGUCUGAGGCUGAACUUGGUUGACACCUGCCGGUUGAGGUUCUAGGAAAUCAAAGGAAGCUCCAUUGACUGACAUGAAAUUCUGUUUUCAAAUACUGGUGAGAAAUCAAAUACUUUUUGGCCAUUUUUCAACAACAAAAUGAGAACCCAAACUGGUGAUGCUUAGGUUUGACCUCAGCACCCUCAUUUCUCCUGAAGGAGAAAUGGAAGCUGGAGCUGGCAGAGAAGAGAAAGAAGACGUCUGGCAAAUAGACAUUCAAUUGGCUUAAUAUACAGACUAUUUUGCUGCAGUGUAACUGGAGCCUCUUAUUAAGAAUCUGAUGGCGCUUCUAAACAAGGAGAGCUGCUCCCUUGGUGGGGGCAAUCUCCAAUCAUAUGCCAACAUUGCUUUUGACAUAUUUAUGACUCCAAUAAAAUCUCCCAUCUGGUAUAUUUUAAAAUAAAAUUGAAAAUUUAUCACUUUGCUUUAGUUGGUUUGUCGUUCUCCCUGAGAGAGGAUAGCCAGGCUGAGAUUAUUGCAUUGGCAGCCUGUCAGCUGAGGUUAGGCCGAGGUGUGAUUUAAAUUUCAAUACUUUCCACAUUACAGCUGUCUGGGGUGGGGAAAUUACAAGGAGAAAAGCAAAGAGUCUGUUAUUUUUAUUCAUUAGUCUCUCCUGAUUUGUUUUGUUUUUCUUUUGGUUAGCUCUGCUUACUGCAUAGAGCACCUGGAAAAACAGAUACUCCCUAUUUUUUCUGAAUUUCCACAAGCUUUGUGGAGGCCUUUGUCAGAGGCCUUUGGGAGGGACAUGGCAGACCCCAAGUUCUGUCUGUCUCCUCUGUAGCUGUGCCAUCAGGCUGGGCUGUGAUAGCAGGACGAGAUUCUUCUCCAGUUUAUAGCAUUUAGAGAGACUGCAACUUUCGGCAGAGCUAAGGGACCAGUGUUGAUUCCCAUUUCCCUGACAAAGGACUAAAGGAGAGGUGUGGAAGGCAUUUUGUUUCUCUUAACAUGGACAGCUGUAUCUAAGCAAGUCUAGAUUUCAUCACAGCAGAGAGAAAUGUACAUUUCUGGAAGCAGAAGCAAACAUGCUGUGGAUGUGCCUUGCUGUUUCUAAGCCUUUAUGAUGGGGUUAGGUCAGGCACUUAUAAACAAUGUGCAGUAGAUGAAGUAAAUCACCUGCCACAGGAUUUCCUUGUGUGUCCACAGCUGGAGUAGGUCUGGAAUGCGGAGCAGCGGAAGCUGAAUCUGGUGUUCAAGCUGCAAGCCAGAAUCUGUCUCCCAGUGGGUCACUGGGAUUUCCCAUUUAGUCUGUAGUGGACAGAAACUGUGGAACAAGAGUGGUUUCUCUGUAUGCAAACCUCUCUGAAUUGGAAGGCUGUCUGUAGGCCUUGGGCAUGCAGCAGUGUGUUCUGCCUCCUGCUUUUGAUUAAUGCUGGAGUCACGCCUGGCUGGCUGCUCUGGCAUUGCCCACUGAUGCGUUUGAUUAGGUGCAUUUGUUUCUGUUUAGGUACUCGAUAGUCUGACUGUAAAAUUAUCAGAGGUCUUAUCUGGGCAAUAAAAGAGAGUAAAAUGCCUUUAUCCUCUACCUCCAGCAGUUCCUUUGUUGCUCAGGUUGUGAUUGGUGCUAUAGUGGAACCAGUGGCUGCCCUCCACUGCAGCUGUAUCGGUAGUAAGGUAAGAGGGCACAGGGCUAAUUGAGAUGCCCAUGUGAAGUUUGCAGUAGUUUACCCUCCGUAAAAUCGAAUUGUUGGGUCCCCUAGACA
Molecule: long non-coding RNA, 9973 nt
Organism: Corvus hawaiiensis (hawaiian crow)
Lineage: Eukaryota; Metazoa; Chordata; Aves; Passeriformes; Corvidae
Exons: 2
Source: RefSeq, a predicted model, not a curated record